UACGGAGGGGGCAAGCGUUAUUCGGAAUUAUUGGGCGUAAAGGGCUCGUAGGCGGUUUGUCGCGUCGGGAGUGAAAUCCACUGGCUUAACUGGUGGCUUGCUUUCGAUACGGGCAGACUGGAGGUAUGCAGGGGAGAACGGAAUUCCGGGUGUAGCGGUGGAAUGCGUAGAGAUCCGGAAGAACACCGGAGGCGAAGGCGGCUUGCUGGGCUUGGUCUGACGCUGAGGCGCGAAGGCGUGGGGAGCGAACAGG
RNAcentral lists this ribosomal RNA (253 nucleotides) under uncultured bacterium. RNAcentral's name for it is "partial 16S ribosomal RNA". It matches the Rfam family "Bacterial small subunit ribosomal RNA", at positions 524 to 776 of the family's 1533-position model. The record is from RNAcentral.